GGCCUAACACAUGCAAGUCGAGCGGGCCCUUCGGGGUCAGCGGCGGACGGGUGAGUAACGCGUGGGAACGUGCCUUCUGGUCUGGAAUAACCCUGGGAAACUAGGGCUAAUACCGGAUACGCCCUUUUGGGGAAAGGUUUACUGCCGGAAGAUCGGCCCGCGUCUGAUUAGCUAGUUGGUGGGGUAACGGCCUACCAAGGCGACGAUCAGUAGCUGGUCUGAGAGGAUGAUCAGCCACACUGGGACUGAGACACGGCCCAGACUCCUACGGGAGGCAGCAGUGGGGAAUAUUGGACAAUGGGCGCAAGCCUGAUCCAGCCAUGCCGCGUGAGUGAUGAAGGCCUUAGGGUUGUAAAGCUCUUUUAUCCGGGACGAUAAUGACGGUACCGGAGGAAUAAGCCCCGGCUAACUUCGUGCCAGCAGCCGCGGUAAU
RNAcentral lists this ribosomal RNA (433 nucleotides) under uncultured bacterium. Its description in RNAcentral is "bacterial SSU rRNA". It matches the Rfam family "Bacterial small subunit ribosomal RNA", at positions 45 to 524 of the family's 1533-position model. The record is from RNAcentral.